This 1334-nucleotide long non-coding RNA is filed under the name Gallus gallus (chicken). Lineage: Eukaryota; Metazoa; Chordata; Aves; Galliformes; Phasianidae. The record is from RNAcentral.
GGCUCUGAAUUCAGGAAUGUGGUGAUCCACUGAGCCACUUCAUCACCACAGUCCCUGCCUUGAAUAUCCAAUCCAAACACCCUGCAGUUCUGCACCGGGUUUUUGCUGGGCAGCUUCACGGGCAGACACAGCUUCUUCAUCCCCUGGGCGCUCAGGGUCAGGUAGCCGUUUUCACAGCCGGUAGUGAUGAGGACGAGACGCGGCUCCUGACGAGCCGUGACCAUGUGUCCGUCCUCCUUGACCACAAGCCAAAACCUGUCCCGCAUCUCCCCGCUCUGCAGCCCCAUCGGCGUCACCCGCGCCCGCUGCACCGCCACCCCCUGGCACGACUUCACGGGGUACACGAAGAGGCUGGACACCGUGCCCACCCGCUGCAGCCGGCCCGGGCGGCGGCGGCGGCGCCCCGCGGCCGUCCCGCGGGCCCAGCGCCAGGCCCCGAGCAGGACGCCCAGCGCCGCUACCGCCGCCGCCCCCCACAGCCAGCCCCGCGGCGCCGCCAACGCCAGCCCCUGCGCCCCCAUCAUGGCGACCGAGCGGAGCGCGGAGCGGACGGCGGCCGCAAGGGAGGCGGGGCGGGGAUGUGCCCUUCCGGUUCGGGGGGCGCAGCCAUGUAGGGGCAGAGUGGGCGCUGUGGGGUCGAGGUCGAGGUGCGGCCGCUUGGGUCAGCGCAGUGGCCGUGUGGGGAUGGCGGGGAGCUGAGCACAGGCGCACGGCAGAGCCCGCGGCUCCAGCAGGGUCCUGGCAGUUCGGCGUGGUGGGAUGCUGCACGAAUCAUAGAGUCGUAAAGGUUGAAAAGGACCGCUAAGAUCAUCACGUGCAAUCGUCAGUCCAUCCCCACCGUGCCCACUGAUCGCGUCUCUCACAUCUCCACAGUUCUUGAUCACCUCCAGGGACGGUGACUCCACAGCCUCCCUGCGCAGCCUGUGCCACUGCCUCACCGCUCUUUCUGAGAAGAAAUAUUUCCUAAUAGCCAACCUGAACCUCCCUGGUACAACUUAAGGCCAUGACUUCUUGUCCUAUUGCUGCUACCUGGAAGCAGAGAAGGACACUGAGGCCCUGGAGCAUGGCCAGUUCUCUGGGCAACAAAGCUGUGAGGGGGCUGAAGCACCAGCCUUAUUGGGAGCGACAGAAGGAACUGGGAUGGUUCAGUCUGGAGAAGAGGAGGCUCAGGGGAGACCUUAUUGCCCUCUAUAACUGCCUAGAGGUUGUGGUCAGAUAGGGGUUGGCCACUUCUCCUGAGUAGCAGCUACAAGAUGAGAGGGAAUGGCCUCAAGCUGUGCCAACAGAGGUUCAGAUUGAGUAUUGGGAAAAAUUUCUUCUCUGAAAGAGUGGUG